CCUACGGGGGGCAGCAGUGAGGAAUAUUGGUCAAUGGGCGCGAGCCUGACCCAGCAACGCCGCGUGAAGGCAGAAGGCUUUCGGGUUGUAAACUUCUUUUCUGAGGGACGAAGAAAGUGACGGUACCUCAGGAAUAAGCCACGGCUAACUACGGGCAAGCCGCCGGGUUAAUACGUAGGUGGCAAGCGUUAUCCGUAUUUAUUGGGUGUAAAGGUCGUGUAGGCGGGAAAGCAAGGCAGAUGUGACAACUCAGGGCUCAACCCUGAAACUGCAUUUGAAACUGUUUUUCUUGAGUGCUGUAGAGGCGAUCGGAAGUCCGUGUGUAGCGGUGAAAUGCGUAGAGAUACGGAGGAACACCAGUGGCGAAGGCGGAUUGCUGGACAGUAACUGACGCUGAGGCGCGAAAGCGUGGGGAGCAAACAGGAUUAGAUACCCUAGUAGUC
This 443-nucleotide ribosomal RNA is filed under the name uncultured bacterium. Its description in RNAcentral is "partial 16S ribosomal RNA". It matches the Rfam family "Bacterial small subunit ribosomal RNA", at positions 338 to 795 of the family's 1533-position model. The record is from RNAcentral.